RNAcentral lists this transfer RNA (85 nucleotides) under Luteitalea pratensis. Its description in RNAcentral is "tRNA-Ser". The record is from RNAcentral. Lineage: Bacteria; Pseudomonadati; Acidobacteriota; Vicinamibacteria; Vicinamibacterales; Vicinamibacteraceae.
CAUUCGCCAGACAGCGACAUUCGACGCACGAGGCGUCGCGGGUCGACUGUACUGGUACGGGGUGGUGCCGCUCCACGCGAUCGUC